This 497-nucleotide ribosomal RNA is filed under the name uncultured bacterium. Its description in RNAcentral is "partial 16S ribosomal RNA". It matches the Rfam family "Bacterial small subunit ribosomal RNA", at positions 28 to 507 of the family's 1533-position model. The record is from RNAcentral.
GAUGAACGCUGGCGGCGUGCCUAAUACAUGCAAGUCGAGCGAACGGACGAGAAGCUUGCUUCUCUGAUGUUAGCGGCGGACGGGUGAGUAACACGUGGAUAACCUACCUAUAAGACUGGGAUAACUUCGGGAAACCGGAGCUAAUACCGGAUAAUAUUUUGAACCGCAUGGUUCAAAAGUAAAAGACGGUCUUGCUGUCACUUAUAGAUGGAUCCGCGCUGCAUUAGCUAGUUGGUAAGGUAACGGCUUACCAAGGCAACGAUGCAUAGCCGACCUGAGAGGGUGAUCGGCCACACUGGAACUGAGACACGGUCCAGACUCCUACGGGAGGCAGCAGUAGGGAAUCUUCCGCAAUGGGCGAAAGCCUGACGGAGCAACGCCGCGUGAGUGAUGAAGGUCUUCGGAUCGUAAAACUCUGUUAUUAGGGAAGAACAUAUGUGUAAGUAACUGUGCACAUCGUGACGGUACCUAAUCAGAAAGCCACGGCUAACUACGUG